Molecule: ribosomal RNA, 377 nt
Filed under: uncultured bacterium
Lineage: Bacteria
Description: bacterial SSU rRNA
Rfam family: Bacterial small subunit ribosomal RNA
Source: RNAcentral
CUACGUAGGGUGCGAGCGUUAAUCGGAUUUACUGGGCGUAAAGCGUGCGCAGGUGGCCCGUUAAGACAGGUGUGAAAUCCCUGGGCUCAACCUAGGAAUUGCGCUUGUGACUGGCGGGCUCGAGUACGGUAGAGGGGGGUGGAAUUCCUGGUGUAGCAGUGAAAUGCGUAGAGAUCAGGAGGGACACCGAUGGCGAAGGCAGCCCCCUGGGCCUGUACUGACGCUCAUGCACGAAAGCGUGGGGAGCAAACAGGAUUAGAUACCCUGGUAGUCCACGCCCUAAACGAUGGGUACUAGCCGUUUGGUGCGCGAUAGCGCUGAGUGGCGAAGCUAACGCGUGAAGUACCCCGCCUGGGGAGUACGGCCGCAAGGUUGAA